GGAGCAAGUGGUCAGCCCGCCAGGCUCCCCCAGGCAUGAGAAACAGGCUGCUGUGGCUUUUGCUUGUUCUACAAAGUCAGCUCUGUAGCUAAAGGAGCUUCAUCUUCGCCCCUGCUGGUGGAGGUGCCGCCAGGUGGUCCCUGGACCCAGGGUGAUGCGUGGAGAUCUGGCAGGUGGGACCCUGGACUCCAGAAGGGGGACGUGAGCUGUGGGCUUUUAAAAAAUUGUGUUCAGAGGCACAGAUCGUAGAAUUGCUUCUCCCUUGCAUUAAAUAAGAAGUUAAGACAUAAAUAUCAGAAAAACAAAGAUGGCGGCUCAUAGAAAAGAAAACAGAGAU
Balaenoptera ricei (Rice's whale) is the source of this 337-nucleotide long non-coding RNA. RefSeq lists it as uncharacterized. Lineage: Eukaryota; Metazoa; Chordata; Mammalia; Artiodactyla; Balaenopteridae. The transcript has 3 exons. The record is from RefSeq and is a predicted model, not a curated record.